Molecule: ribosomal RNA, 893 nt
Filed under: Clavulina cinerea
Lineage: Eukaryota; Fungi; Basidiomycota; Agaricomycetes; Cantharellales; Hydnaceae
Description: eukaryotic LSU rRNA
Rfam family: Eukaryotic large subunit ribosomal RNA
Source: RNAcentral
GGAUUCCCCUAGUAACUGCGAGUGAAGCGGGAAAAGCUCAAAUUUGAAAUCUGGCGGUCUUUGGCCGUCCGAGUUGUAGUCUGGAGAAGCGCUUUCCGCGCCGGACCGUGUACAAGUCCUCUGGAACGGGGCGUCGUAGAGGGUGAGAAUCCCGUCUUUGACACGGACCGCCGGUGCUUUGUGAUGCGCUCUCGAAGAGUCGAGUUGUUUGGGAAUGCAGCUCAAAACGGGUGGUGAAUUCCAUCUAAAGCUAAAUAUUGGCGAGAGACCGAUAGCGAACAAGUACCGUGAGGGAAAGAUGAAAAGCACUUUGGAAAGAGAGUUAAACAGUACGUGAAAUUGUUGAAAGGGAAACGCUUGAAGUCAGUCGCGUCGUUCGGAAUUCAGCCUUGCGAUCUCGCUCGGUGUACUUUCCGGUUCGACGGGCCAGCAUCGAUUUCGAUCGUCGGACAAAGGCGGGGAAACGUGGCACCUUACCGGGUGUGUUAUAGUCCCUCGUCGGUAUACGGUGGUCCGGGAUCGAGGAACUCGGCACGCCUUCGUGGUCCGGGGCUUUCGGCCACGUCUUCGUGCUUUAGGAUGCUGGCCGUAAUGGCUUUAAACGACCCGUCUUGAAACACGGACCAAGGAGUCUAACAUGUCUGCGAGUGUUUGGGUGGAAACCCGAGCGCGUAAUGAAAGUGAUGGCUGGAACCCCUUUGGAAGGCACCGGCGCCCGAGCUGACCUUCUGUGACGCAUCGGAGGCAGAGCAUACAUGUUGGGACCCGAAAGAUGGUGAACUAUGCCUGAAUAGGGCGAAGCCAGAGGAAACUCUGGUGGAGGCUCGUAGCGAUUCUGACGUGCAAAUCGAUCGUCAAAUUUGGGUAUACGGGGCGAAAGACUAACGAACCAU